UGUGAGCUUCGUUGCUCAGCGCAUCAGAGCAAACUGAAUAGGAAACCAAUCCAACAAACACCACCACGUAGAUACAAAUUGUCAUCCGCAACAGAGUAAAGGCGAAGGAGAAAAAGCCGAGUCAAACAUGGUGUCGUAUGUCAGUGCCUUGUUGUACGGAGUUGGGGGCAUAGUGAUGGCUGGUAUGGCGCUGCUCGUCGCCUUUCAAGAGAAACUUGUCUACGUCCCGGUGCUUCCCGGACUCACUAAGUCCUACCCGAUUACUCCCGCCCGCCUCCGUCUCAUCUAUGAGGACGUCUGGCUCCGAUCCUCCGACGGCAUCCGCCUCCACUCUUGGUUCAUCAGGCUCUUCCCCGACUGCCGAGGUCCAACCAUUCUGUUCUUCCAAGAGAAUGCUGGAAAUAUUGCGCACCGUCUAGAAAUGAUUCGGAUAUUGUUGCAGAGGUUGCAUUGCAAUGUCUUCAUGCUUUCAUAUCGAGGUUAUGGGGCGAGCGAUGGCUAUCCUUCUCAGCAUGGAAUUAUACAGGAUGCUCAGGCUGCAUUGGAUUAUCUUUAUCAAAGGACUGAUAUUGACACAUCUAGGAUAGUUGUAUUUGGAAGGUCCCUUGGGGGUGCUGUUGGAGCUACGCUUACCAAAAACAAUCCUGAUAAGGUUUCUGCAUUGAUACUGGAGAACACUUUCACAUCUAUUCUAGACAUGGCUGGGGUUCUAUUGCCUUUCCUGAAGUGGUUUAUUGGGGGAAGUGGCUCAAAAGGUCCAAAAAUUCUUAAUUUUCUUGUCCGUUCUCCAUGGAGCACCAUAGAUGUCAUUGGUAAGAUUGAGCAGCCAAUCCUUUUUAUAUCUGGAUUGCAAGAUGAGAUGGUUCCCCCAGUGCACAUGAAAAUGUUGUAUGCUAAAGCAGCAGCUCGUAACAGACAAUGCACCUUUGUGGAAUUUCCAAAUGGGAUGCAUAUGGAUACUUGGCUGUCUGGUGGGGAUCACUACUGGAGAACAAUUCAGCAAUUCCUUGAAAAGCAUGUUCCAGAAAAAAAGCAAAGUGAAUCACAGCAAAAUGACAAUGGAUAUUGGAUAGCAGAAAGUGGCAACAGAGAGAAUAAAUGAUUUCAACUGUCUUUUUGACAAUGAUACCAACGUCAAUUUAUUGGCUUAAUGAGAUCUUCAAUCUCAAGGAGAGGUGAUCAGAAGCAGCUGGCAUGUGAACUUUGAAAAUUUCAUUUACUUGGCAUAACAGCAGGGACCUCCAACUCUUUGUAACUUUCUGGAAGUUGCAGAUAGUGGAAGCUAUUCUAAACUCUCUAAGUUGAUAUCUGCUGUGUUCUUCUGUUCCCGUCAGGAUCACUGUUGAGAUUUUUCUUUGUUUAGGAAAAAUUAAUUUUGGGUAUAACAAACCGUAGGAGGUACUUGGAAGGCGUGAAAAUGCCCAUGAGUAUAUUGUAAGACAUUUGACAGACUAUGACAUUCAAUCAAAAAGUCUGACCAGUUGGCAUUUGUAUCAAAUAAGAAUUCUCUUCAACAUA
RNA transcript from Carica papaya (papaya), 1518 nucleotides. It is a transcript of the gene named alpha/beta-Hydrolases superfamily protein, with no coding region annotated. The record is from RefSeq and is a predicted model, not a curated record. NCBI's taxonomy places the organism in Eukaryota, Viridiplantae, Streptophyta, Magnoliopsida, Brassicales, Caricaceae.